GCCAGACUCCUACGGGAGGCAGCAGUGGGGGAUAUUGCACAAUGGGGGAAACCCUGAUGCAGCGACGCCGCGUGAGUGAAGAAGUAUUUCGGUAUGUAAAGCUCUCUCAGCAGGGAAGAAGAAAGACGGUACCUGAGUAAGAAGCCCCGGCUAACUACGUGCCAGCAGCCGCGGUAAUACGUAGGGGGCAAGCGUUAUCCGGAUUUACUGGGUGUAAAGGGAGCGUAGACGGUAUGGCAAGUCUGAAGUGAAAGCCCCGGGCUCAACCUGGGAACUGCUUUGGAAACUGUUAAACUAGAGUGCUGGAGAGGCAGGCGGAAUUCCUAGUGUAGCGGUGAAAUGCGUAGAUAUUAGGAGGAACACCAGUGGCGAAGGCGGCCUGCUGGACAGUAACUGACGUUGAGGCUCGAAAGCGUGGGGAGCAAACAGGAUUAGAUACCCUCGUA
This 446-nucleotide ribosomal RNA is filed under the name uncultured bacterium. Its description in RNAcentral is "bacterial SSU rRNA". It matches the Rfam family "Bacterial small subunit ribosomal RNA", at positions 330 to 792 of the family's 1533-position model. The record is from RNAcentral.